UAGGCUAAUCGGAUGGUUGCUCAUAUUUCAGAUUACUGUAAUUAUGGGAGGAAAGUCCGAACUCUAUAGGACAAAGUGCCUCGUGAUGAGGGAGGACCCUGUAAAGGGAUGGAAUAGUGCCACAGAAAAUAAACCGCCUUUUUUUAAAGGUAAGGGUGAAACGGUGGUGUAAGAGACCACCAGUCUUUCUAGUAAUAGAUUGAGCUGGCAAACCCCACUUGGAGCAAGAUCAAGCAGCUCUGUGUAGUCCUAUCACGUAAGAGCGGGUAGAUUGCAAUAGAUAAAUAACCAUCAUUCUUUAUGAAUACAGAAUUCGGCUUAUAGAUUAGCCUAUUUA
RNAcentral lists this RNase P RNA (337 nucleotides) under bacterium. RNAcentral describes it as "RNase P RNA component class A". It matches the Rfam family "Bacterial RNase P class A". From Rfam's summary of the family: Ribonuclease P (RNase P) is a ubiquitous endoribonuclease, found in archaea, bacteria and eukarya as well as chloroplasts and mitochondria. The record is from RNAcentral.